UGGGAGAUGUAUGCAAUAGCUACUUGCAUCAUUGCUACAGAUGAUGCAAGAUCGACUAAGUCGAAUAAAAUUCUAGGUAGAAUUAUGAUAAUGACAUUGUCUGCCUAUGUGUCUUGACCAAAUUACGUGCCAGCAGUCGCGGUAAUACGUAGUAGACUAGUGUUAUUCAUGUUUAAUCGGUUUAAAGGGUACCUAGACGGUAGAUCAAGCUUUUAUAUAUAAAUUAUGUUAAUUAAAGGACUAAUUUACUAGAGUUACUUACGAGGGGGCAUUAAAGUACUGCUGGUGUAGAGAUGAAAUUCUGUCAUACCUCUUUUCGAAAGAAAAAUCAUGGCACUGGUAUAGGCGAAGGCAUCCCCUUAUGUGAUAACUGACGUUGAGGGACGAAGGCUUUGUGUAACAAACAGGAUUAGAUACCCUAGUAGUUGAAGCAGAAAAUGAUGAAUGUCAUAGAUUAGAUAUAUAAGUUUAUUCUAUAAAUGAAAGUGUAAGCAUUCCACCUCAUGAGUAAUUUGGCAACAUUGGAAUUGAAAUCAUUAGACCGUUUCUGAAACCAGUAGUGAAGUAUGUUGUUUAAUUUGAUGGUCCGCAAAA
Molecule: ribosomal RNA, 594 nt
Filed under: Punctelia borreri
Lineage: Eukaryota; Fungi; Ascomycota; Lecanoromycetes; Lecanorales; Parmeliaceae
Description: SSU rRNA
Rfam family: Bacterial small subunit ribosomal RNA
Source: RNAcentral